UACGUAGGGUGCAAGCGUUAUCCGGAAUUAUUGGGCGUAAAGAGCUCGUAGGCGGUUUGUCGCGUCUGCUGUGAAAACUGGAGGCUCAACCUCCAGCUUGCAGUGGGUACGGGCAAACUAGAGUGCGGUAGGGGAGAUUGGAAUUCCUGGUGUAGCGGUGGAAUGCGCAGAUAUCAGGAAGAACACCUAUGGCGAAGGCAGCUCUCUGGGACGGUACUGACGCUGAGACGCGAAAGCGUGGGGAGCGAACAGG
Molecule: ribosomal RNA, 253 nt
Filed under: uncultured bacterium
Lineage: Bacteria
Description: partial 16S ribosomal RNA
Rfam family: Bacterial small subunit ribosomal RNA
Source: RNAcentral